GAUGAAGAACGUAGCGAAACGCGAUAUGUAAUGUGAAUUGCAGAAUUCAGUGAAUCAUCGAAUCUUUGAACGCACAUUGCGCCCCCUGGUAUUCCGGGGGGCAUGCCUGUUCGAGCGUCAUUACAACCCUCAAGCUCUGCUUGGUAUUGGGCCCCGCCAGUUCUGGCGGGCCCUAAAGUCAGUGGCGGUGCCUUCCGGCUCCGAGCGUAGUAAUUCUUCUCGCUCUGGAGACCCGGUUGUGUGCUUGCCAACAACCCCCAAUUUUUUAAGGUUGACCUCGGAUCAGGUAGGGAUACCCGCUGAACUUAAGCAUAUCAAUAAGCGGAGGA
RNAcentral lists this unclassified non-coding RNA (329 nucleotides) under soil metagenome. Its description in RNAcentral is "partial contains 5.8S ribosomal RNA, internal transcribed spacer 2, and large subunit ribosomal RNA". The stretch from base 1 to 120 matches the Rfam family "5.8S ribosomal RNA", at positions 35 to 154 of the family's 154-position model. The record is from RNAcentral.